This is a non-coding RNA of Schistosoma mansoni, 45 nucleotides long. The record is from Rfam. Lineage: Eukaryota; Metazoa; Platyhelminthes; Trematoda; Strigeidida; Schistosomatidae.
AUCCAACUGACGAGUCCCAAAUAGAACGAAACGCGUGUCCUGGAU